GAUCCUGGCUCAGGACGAACGCUGGCGGCGCGCCUAACACAUGCAAGUCGAACGAGCGAGAGAGAGCUUGCUUUCUCGAGCGAGUGGCGAACGGGUGAGUAACGCGUGAGGAACCUGCCUUGAAGAGGGGGACAACAGUUGGAAACGACUGCUAAUACCGCAUGACGCAUAGGGGUCGCAUGAUCUUUAUGCCAAAGAUUUAUCGCUUCAAGAUGGCCUCGCGU
Molecule: ribosomal RNA, 224 nt
Filed under: uncultured bacterium
Lineage: Bacteria
Description: partial 16S ribosomal RNA
Rfam family: Bacterial small subunit ribosomal RNA
Source: RNAcentral